GGACCUUCGGGCCUCUUGCCAUCGGAUGUGCCCAGAUGGGAUUAGCUAGUAGGUGGGGUAAAGGCUCACCUAGGCGACGAUCCCUAGCUGGUCUGAGAGGAUGACCAGCCACACUGGAACUGAGACACGGUCCAGACUCCUACGGGAGGCAGCAGUGGGGAAUAUUGCACAAUGGGCGCAAGCCUGAUGCAGCCAUGCCGCGUGUAUGAAGAAGGCCUUCGGGUUGUAAAGUACUUUCAGCGGGGAGGAAGGGAGUAAAGUUAAUACCUUUGCUCAUUGACGUUACCCGCAGAAGAAGCACCGGCUAACUCCGUGCCAGCAGCCGCGGUAAUACGGAGGGUGCAAGCGUUAAUCGGAAUUACUGGGCGUAAAGCGCACGCAGGCGGUUUGUUAAGUCAGAUGUGAA
Molecule: ribosomal RNA, 406 nt
Filed under: Escherichia coli
Lineage: Bacteria; Pseudomonadati; Pseudomonadota; Gammaproteobacteria; Enterobacterales; Enterobacteriaceae
Description: bacterial SSU rRNA
Rfam family: Bacterial small subunit ribosomal RNA
Source: RNAcentral